GAUGAACGCUGGCGGCGUGCCUAAUACAUGCAAGUCGAGCGAACGGACGAGAAGCUUGCUUCUCUGAUGUUAGCGGCGGACGGGUGAGUAACACGUGGAUAACCUACCUAUAAGACUGGGAUAACUUCGGGAAACCGGAGCUAAUACCGGAUAAUAUUUUGAACCGCAUGGUUCAAAAGUGAAAGACGGUCUUGCUGUCACUUAUAGAUGGAUCCGCGCUGCAUUAGCUAGUUGGUAAGGUAACGGCUUACCAAGGCAACGAUGCAUAGCCGACCUGAGAGGGUGAUCGGCCACACUGGAACUGAGGCACGGUCCAGACUCCUACGGGAGGCAGCAGUAGGGAAUCUUCCGCAAUGGGCGAAAGCCUGACGGAGCAACGCCGCGUGAGUGAUGAAGGUCUUCGGAUCGUAAAACUCUGUUAUUAGGGAAGAACAUAUGUGUAAGUAACUGUGCACAUCUUGAUGGUACCUAAUCAGAAAGCCACGGCUAACUACGUG
RNAcentral lists this ribosomal RNA (497 nucleotides) under uncultured bacterium. RNAcentral describes it as "partial 16S ribosomal RNA". It matches the Rfam family "Bacterial small subunit ribosomal RNA", at positions 28 to 507 of the family's 1533-position model. The record is from RNAcentral.